UACGGAGGGAGCUAGCGUUGUUCGGAAUUACUGGGCGUAAAGCGCACGUAGGCGGCUUUGUAAGUUAGAGGUGAAAGCCCGGAGCUCAACCCCGGAAUUGCCUUUAAGACUGCAUCGCUUGAAUCCGGGAGAGGUGAGUGGAAUUUCGAGUGUAGAGGUGAAAUUCGUAGAUAUUCGGAAGAACACCAGUGGCGAAGGCGGCUCACUGGACCGGUAUUGACGCUGAGGUGCGAAAGCGUGGGGAGCAAACAGG
RNAcentral lists this ribosomal RNA (253 nucleotides) under uncultured bacterium. RNAcentral's name for it is "partial 16S ribosomal RNA". It matches the Rfam family "Bacterial small subunit ribosomal RNA", at positions 524 to 776 of the family's 1533-position model. The record is from RNAcentral.